This is a long non-coding RNA of Engraulis encrasicolus (European anchovy), 583 nucleotides long. RefSeq lists it as uncharacterized. Lineage: Eukaryota; Metazoa; Chordata; Actinopteri; Clupeiformes; Engraulidae. The record is from RefSeq and is a predicted model, not a curated record. The transcript has 4 exons.
ACUUUCUAAAGACGUUGAGGGGUACACUUCAGGGGUACACCCGGCUGCACACCAGCUGUUUGGCGCCUCACUGCUGUGUGCCCAAAUGUAGUCCUACGUCCUCAAAGAGAAACAAAUCCUACCGUGGACAGACUUUCCACCGUUUCGCCAAAGAGCAGGCACUUCGGCGUGAAUGAAUUAAUCACAUCAAGAGGGAUCCUCGUCCAUAUUUCAAGAUCAACGCUGAGACCGAGGUUUGAUCUGAGCACGUUGAGAAGCAAUGCUUUGUUAAGGUCACCCGUGGUAUGACAACGCUAAUAAAGGAUGCUGUGCCUGCCAACUUUGUUCGCCUGGACUUCAGAGAAGCCAAAGAGGAGAAUCAUCAUUCGCAUACCGUGUAUGGAUUCCAUGGAGUAUUCCAUCGAGUAUUUCUUCUGUUUCAAUCGUCUUGGUGAAGUUUUUGAGCUGGAUCUGGAUUCUGCUGAGGAUUCGUCGACUACUAGAUGGCGAGCCACCCACUCAUUCGAAUGUGAUCCUGUUCUACAUUGCGCAUGGCAUAUUUGGUAGGAUUGUGGCCUGCUCGUGUCACAUCACUGACUAUGAC